Rhineura floridana is the source of this 820-nucleotide long non-coding RNA. RefSeq lists it as uncharacterized. The transcript has 3 exons. The record is from RefSeq and is a predicted model, not a curated record. Lineage: Eukaryota; Metazoa; Chordata; Lepidosauria; Squamata; Rhineuridae.
CGCGUGCGCCAUCUUGAGUGAGGGCACGGUGUCCAGGGACGCGGCCAAUAGUACGGGGGCGUCGUAUCGCCUCCCUCGCUCGUGGACUUGCUGCUGCUGGUGCUGCUACUACCUCUGGACAAUGCGCUUCGCAAAGAUGAAGCCGACUCUCGCCCGCGGCUGCAGACAGAAGCCCAAGGAAUUGCAGAAGAAGAAGCCCCUUCUGCCUUCCGCCACAGACAAAGCUCAAUACUGUAAACAAGGCACCAGAAUUUCAAGCCGGAGAAAACAUCUAUAUAGCAAACUAAAAAGGGACCACAUCUGCCCAUAUGAACCUGCCCAGACACGUCAGUCUUCGGAACAUAGGAAGAGGCCUUAUACUGCGUCAGGCCAUUGGCCCAUCUUGCUGUCUGGCAGUGGCUCUCCAGGGCUUCAGGCAGGGAUCUUUCCAGCAGUAACUGGAGAUGCCAGGACUGAACCUGGGACCUUCUGCAUGCAAGGCAGAUGCUCUACCACUUUAUGACAACCCUACCCUAAAACCAACCUCAGUCAACUCACAGAAGGAUGAACAGGAAAAAAAGAGAAAAAACUGGGUGAUUAUGUCACAUCACUUAUUCAUCCCCAUGCCCUCUAUGAGCUGUUAACUCCAGUACAUGCUGAAGGCUGUUCACCUUCCAUUUAGAAGGGAAAGAAACUUUCAGAAAUGAGCGACUGACAAUUUGUCGUAGCUGUGUUCCUGCAGUCUACUUUAGAUUUGCCAUCUGCUCCUUAACGCUGCUGCCUUUGUUCAUGCUUGGCUUUGGCUUAUGUGGGUAUUGGUGUUUUACUGUUGGUUGUUAAG